GUGAGGAAUAUUGCGCAAUGGAGGCAACUCUGACGCAGCCAUGCCGCGUGCAGGAAGAAGGCGCUACGUGUUGUAAACUGCUUUUAACCGGGAAGAAACCCCAGGACGUGUCCUGGGUUGACGGUACCGGAGGAAUAAGCACCGGCUAACUUCGUGCCAGCAGCCGCGGUAAUACGAAGGGUGCAAGCGUUAUCCGGAUUCAUUGGGUUUAAAGGGUGCGUAGGCGGAGCGUUAAGUCAGUGGUGAAAUCCUGCAGCUUAACUGUAGACUUGCCAUUGAUACUGGCGCUCUUGAGUGCGCUUGAAGUGGGCGGAAUGUGCCGUGUAGCGGUGAAAUGCUUAGAUAUGGCACAGAACACCAAUUGCGAAGGCAGCUCACUAAGGCGAUACUGACGCUGAGGCACGAAAGCGUGGGGAUCGAACAGGAUUAGAUACCCUUGUAGUCC
RNAcentral lists this ribosomal RNA (445 nucleotides) under uncultured bacterium. Its description in RNAcentral is "bacterial SSU rRNA". It matches the Rfam family "Bacterial small subunit ribosomal RNA", at positions 354 to 796 of the family's 1533-position model. The record is from RNAcentral.